CUUAAUUAUAUGUCAUGAAAAGGUUCAAGUUUGGGGUUGUCCGGGGGAAAAUUGAAAAAGCAAGUGAAAGGCAUUGAGCUCAAUUGUUGUAAAAAGAAAAAUUCAUGAGAAAAAGAAAAGAAAAGACGAAAAGCAUGAAGAUGAGCUCAAUGAAAAAGAAAAGAAAAGGGAAGAAGUUGGGAAUGAGAAAUUUUGGUGAGAGAGUUGUGCGUAAAUGUUGAAUAUUUUGUU
This 231-nucleotide long non-coding RNA is filed under the name Vigna radiata. Its description in RNAcentral is "long non-coding RNA (VRAD_LNC006741)". The record is from RNAcentral. Lineage: Eukaryota; Viridiplantae; Streptophyta; Magnoliopsida; Fabales; Fabaceae.